UUUUUUUUUUUUUGUAAGUAGAGUCGAAAGCCAGAACAUCUCCAAAAUAUUGGUAGUCCAACCUACUUCCCCCGUCGGCCCAAAACAUAUUUGCAAGCAUUCUAUCCUCGGUCAAAUUAUACCGUGCCAUCAGCAUAGGAUCCGCCUCUGCCUUUCCUUCUAGGUAUGCUAUCGCAGAUUCAGCAUCUUCGUCAACAAUUUGCUCGCGCCUUUGCUUGUCAAUAUAAUUGUACGCGUCCUUCUUUAGAAAUCCUACCAAUGAAUACCUACCCACCAAUCCUGCCAUAUAUCGCAUUGUUUUUGCCGUCGAUAUCCCGCACUCACAGAAUCUAUCAAUUUGCGCUUUCGCCCCUUUAGUCAAUGACCUAUACUUUGGGAUUAGGUGCACCAUUACCUGGGGAGUCAAUUCAUGGUUGUUGUUGUUGUUGAUCUUCCUUACUCGCCAUACGGAAGCACUCUUAUCUAGGUGAACAGAAAACUUUGCCUUGCAAUUUGUUCUCGUCUCAGGUUUAUGUACUCGCAUCCUAUCCAGUCUAUUAUAGUGCUUGGGAUCUCUGAGUCCCUCCUUAUUACAAAAAAAAACCUCCUCUUCCUAACGUUUCCAUCAUCGUCCCUUCGUGAGUCCCCUUUUCGGACACCGAACCCAUGAUACCUACCAAAAUUUUUGUAGAACUCAUACGCAUCAUCAUCAAAAGUCUUUUGCAUAAUAUCUUCAAUAGUCAAACCCUCAACAUCUCCAACAUCCAAACACAUUUGACUCUCUGAUUCACUUCCAAUAGUAUCAUUCAAAAUGUCCUUCGCCACCGCCUCAUCACAACGCCCGUUUUCUUCAUUAUUUUUCCCCUCACCACCAUUGUUAUGCACCGCAUCCAUCUACAUUUCAGAAAAUCAGAAUCUUCAAAAUCCAUCAACUUAAAUAAAUUUUUUAUAUUAUCUUAUCAUUUUAAUUGAGAUAUUUAAAUAGAUGUUAUUAUUUAAUUUUAUAAUAAAAUAAAUAUUUACUGACUAAAAUAAAAAUAACAUAUAAAAAUUAGCAAAAUAUAUUUUCAUAAUCACAACGCCCAUUAUUUUUCCCCUCACCACCAUUGUUAUGCACCGCAUCCAUCUACAUUUCAGAAAAUCAGAAUCUUCAAAAUCCAUCAAAUCCAUCAACCGUAAAUAUCCUUCUUAUUACACCCGCAUUAUUCCCCCAAUCAAAGUUUAACACAAACGUAUUCCACUACAGCAAAUAGAUCACAUAGCCAAAUUUCUACAAAGCCAAGAGCACAUGCAAGGUUAUCACAAAACACAACAACAAUAGCUCGCAAGUUCAAUAACACGCUAAAAAAUUAACAACCAUAUUACCCCUAACGCAAACCCCAAUCUCCAUAAACAACAUCAAUACCACAUUCCCUCGUGUGCAUCAACAAUAACCACAUCAAUUAAUUUAAUAACAAUUUACCAAAAAAGUUCUAAUUACAGCAAAUAGUCAGUUUAUUGGUAAUCAGAACAAGAGACCAUCACCAGUAACUAGAACAAUAACCAAAAUAGUCAAUGAGCAAUAAUUUCAAUUUCAGAAGCUCCGGCUUCAUUAAUAUGUUCCAGAACAAGAAGAUAAUACCAUCACUCAUAAUCGGAACAAAAAAUCUCAACAGUAAUAUGAAUUUUAGACGCUCAACUUUAAUUAUUUAUUUUCUAGAAAAUUAAUUAUUUUCCAGAACAAAAAGGCAAUUCCAUCACUAGUAAUCAGCACAGCAAUCAAAGGAAUAAUCAGAACAGUAAUUUUAAUUUCAAAACCUCAACUUUAGUUAACUUUUUUUCAGAACAAAAGCUCAAUACCAUCACUUGUAACCAGAACAAUAACCAAAAUAAUAAUCAGAACAGUAAUAUAAAUUUCAGAACCCCAACCUUAAUUUUUUUUCCAGAACAAUAGGACAAUACCAUCACUGGUAACCAGAACAAUAACCAAAACAAUCACUAUCCACAACCACGCGUCACAUUCCAACAGCGAUACAUACAGUUCGCAUGACAUGAUGAUUAUGUUGGUAAGCACCACAGAACUUCCCUUUAUACUUUUAUAUGUCUUAUUGAGGACUCGAAUCCGUGUAGAGCUCCCAGUGAGGCAGCCAGGCAGGUAAUGCUGCUGUUUAUCCAAGACCUCGACUGCGUACAAUAUGGUGUUUUGCAUGAAUAUGAUGCAUGAUAUAAUUUGUCGAAAGCCUAUUCAGAAUUCGCUCCAUAUUUUGGAGAAACACUCCCAAAAAAAGGGUUAUGGAAAUCAUAGAAAUUUCCUCCAUAUAUAAACUUUUUAGCCAUGGUUAAAAUCACAUGUACACCACUUUGUUAUUGUGUUUUUUUUUUUAAAUAUAUAUAGACAAGACCCAUACACAUCAUAUUAGCAAUCAAAUCCUCAAAAGAAUCAAAUGAAUAAAUGCUCAAUGGUUUUCAAGUUAUUUCUAAAAUAUCACUUUCUGCAUCAAAACUUUGUUUCAUUGAUAUUAUUCUGGACAAAGUUAAGAUAUGGCAGUGUUCACAACUUCAUAUCCAUCUAUCUCUUAUAUCCUGAAAAAACUAUUUCUAUUAACAAGUAUAUGAUAAUUGAAUAUACACUUUCUAACCUCAAAAUUCUGCUACUAAUAUAUAAAUUAAGAUCAUGAAGAGGAGGACAUUUGAUCCACCCUUUUAUCAACUGCUCUAAAAAUCUGAGAUCUAGAACUUGUGACAAAAAGCUUUACAGCAUAUGCACCGAAGCAGGCCCAAACACAUCGACUCAUACUCGAUUCAGUCAUCACUGGAUCACAGAAAAAUUGUUUAUCAGCUUUCCUUGUCAAGCAUGUUUCUCAUAUUCAGACAUCAUUUUCCACAGCAGUGUUGACAUGCAGCUAAGAAAACGAUAAG
RNAcentral lists this long non-coding RNA (2877 nucleotides) under Arachis ipaensis. Its description in RNAcentral is "long non-coding RNA (AIPA_LNC000648)". Lineage: Eukaryota; Viridiplantae; Streptophyta; Magnoliopsida; Fabales; Fabaceae. The record is from RNAcentral.